This 497-nucleotide ribosomal RNA is filed under the name uncultured bacterium. Its description in RNAcentral is "partial 16S ribosomal RNA". It matches the Rfam family "Bacterial small subunit ribosomal RNA", at positions 28 to 507 of the family's 1533-position model. The record is from RNAcentral.
GACGAACGCUGGCGGCGUGCCUAAUACAUGCAAGUUGAGCGCUGAAGGUUGGUACUUGUACCAACUGGAUGAGCAGCGAACGGGUGAGUAACGCGUGGGGAAUCUGCCUUUGAGCGGGGGACAACAUUUGGAAACGAAUGCUAAUACCGCAUAAAAACUUUAAACACAAGUUUUAAGUUUGAAAGAUGCAAUUGCAUCACUCAAAGAUGAUCCCGCGUUGUAUUAGCUAGUUGGUGAGGUAAAGGCUCACCAAGGCGAUGAUACAUAGCCGACCUGAGAGGGUGAUCGGCCACAUUGGGUCUGAGACACGGCCCAAACUCCUACGGGAGGCAGCAGUAGGGAAUCUUCGGCAAUGGACGAAAGUCUGACCGAGCAACGCCGCGUGAGUGAAGAAGGUUUUCGGAUCGUAAAACUCUGUUGGUAGAGAAGAACGUUGGUGAGAGUGGAAAGCUCAUCAAGUGACGGUAACUACCCAGAAAGGGACGGCUAACUACGUG